This is a long non-coding RNA of Gossypium arboreum, 752 nucleotides long. RefSeq lists it as uncharacterized. The record is from RefSeq and is a predicted model, not a curated record. The transcript is spliced from 3 exons. Lineage: Eukaryota; Viridiplantae; Streptophyta; Magnoliopsida; Malvales; Malvaceae.
UUACUUAGGUUUGAAAAACUAAUUAGAGAAGUCCAUUGCAGUCUCAAAACAAAAUAUAAAAAAACCAAAAACGGGAAAUAACAAAAAGAGAGAAAAACUAAAAAAGGCAUGGUCUUCUCCAUCCAGCAAUCUUUCAGACUCUUUGCGUGUCUACAAUCCCUAAAAAUAAACGGCUAAAUCUUCCAAAUUCUGACAAUGAAUCGCCCAGAAAAAGAAGCUGUUGAGACAAGCAACCAUAUUUCGAAGUUUUUCAACUCAAUCGAUAUCACAGAGAAGAAAUUAUGGAGGUCGACUGAACCAACGAUUAGAAUCGACCACUUCUAAAGCUUUUAAUGGCGCAUCUUCAACCCAGAACGAAUCUCCUUCAGUUCGUAAAGCUUCAACAGCCAUUGUAUGCACUGCUCUAUUCCCUUCUCACGCAAUGAAUUGAAAUCGACAGAAAUGGAAUUUCCUCGCCAGAUUCUUCGCGUCCCAGAAGGGGCAUCCAUUUUACCAUGGAUCGCGGCUGAGGAUGCUUCAAAUUCAAAGCGCUACCUCGAUACUCCAAACCGAAACCCCUAAUGAAGACAAGCAAUCCCGAACAGCAUGAGUAGAUGAUUUGCACAACUGUCGGCAACGCGAAUAUUUGUUAUCAGUGAUCAAUGCAACGCGAAUAUUUGUUAUCAGUGAUAAAUCUCCUAAAAUGUAAGUUCUGAUAAGUAGGUACAUAAUUUUUCACAAAUUUCCAAAAUAAAAUGCAAACUUUUGAAGGA